Nothoprocta perdicaria is the source of this 115-nucleotide long non-coding RNA. RefSeq lists it as uncharacterized. The record is from RefSeq and is a predicted model, not a curated record. NCBI's taxonomy places the organism in Eukaryota, Metazoa, Chordata, Aves, Tinamiformes, Tinamidae. The transcript is spliced from 2 exons.
ACUUGUAACGUUCUUAUAAUGUCAUCUCAUGAAGAGUAAAGGCACUAAAGAAGACAGAUAUUAGACAAGAAGCCACAGCAGUCAGGGUGUCGGGCACCAUCUCAGCACAUUUCUC